UUACGGCCAUAUCCCUUUAAAACAUCAGUACCGGUACGAUCACUGAAUUUAAGCUAUGUCAGGCUCGAUAAGUACAUAGAUGGGUGAUCUUUCGGGAAUACCAGGCGCUAUA
Molecule: non-coding RNA, 112 nt
Organism: Acanthosepion pharaonis
Lineage: Eukaryota; Metazoa; Mollusca; Cephalopoda; Sepiida; Sepiidae
Source: the annotation of a GenBank genome assembly